Molecule: ribosomal RNA, 440 nt
Filed under: uncultured bacterium
Lineage: Bacteria
Description: partial 16S ribosomal RNA
Rfam family: Bacterial small subunit ribosomal RNA
Source: RNAcentral
CCUACGGGAGGCAGCAGUGGGGAAUAUUGCACAAUGGGGGAAACCCUGAUGCAGCGACGCCGCGUGAGUGAAGAAGUAAUUCGUUAUGUAAAGCUCUAUCAGCAGGGAAGAAAAUGACGGUACCUGAGUAAGAAGCCCCGGCUAACUACGUGCCAGCAGCCGCGGUAAUACGUAGGGGGCAAGCGUUAUCCGGAUUGACUGGGUGUAAAGUGAGCGUAGACGGCAGUGCAAGUCUGGAGUGAAAGGCGGGGGCUCAACCACCGGACUGCUCUGGAAACUGUACGGCUGGAGUGCAGGAGAGGUAAGUGGAAUUCCUAGUGUAGCGGUGAAAUGCGUAGAUAUUAGGAGGAACACCAGUGGCGAAGGCGGCUUACUGGACUGUAACUGACGUUGAGGCUCGAAAGCGUGGGGAGCAAACAGGAUUAGAUACCCGGGUAGUC